RNAcentral lists this ribosomal RNA (196 nucleotides) under uncultured bacterium. RNAcentral describes it as "partial 16S ribosomal RNA". It matches the Rfam family "Bacterial small subunit ribosomal RNA", at positions 1305 to 1500 of the family's 1533-position model. The record is from RNAcentral.
CUGCAACUCGCCUGCAUGAAGCUGGAAUUGCUAGUAAUCGCGGAUCAGCAAGCCGCGGUGAAUACGUUCCCGGGCCUUGUACACACCGCCCGUCACACCAUGAGAGUCGGGAACACCCGAAGUCCGUAGCCUAACUGCAAAGGGGGCGCGGCCGAAGGUGGGUUCGAUAAUUGGGGUGAAGUCGUAACAAGGUAAC